This is a long non-coding RNA of Bos taurus (domestic cattle), 1758 nucleotides long. NCBI's taxonomy places the organism in Eukaryota, Metazoa, Chordata, Mammalia, Artiodactyla, Bovidae. The record is from Ensembl.
AUUAGUAGUUAAAGGCACCACCAGCACCCAUUCCCCCUUCUCGGUAGUCCCCUCUAGGAGUGAGUAGGAUGAUGGACCUAGCAGAAGCAAAUGAUUCCCAUGGGUCCCAGGCUACGGGCCUGGGCAGAUUUCACCCACAGGCCUGGAGAAGCAGAGCAUCAGGUCUUGAAAGCAAAAGACAAGAGGAAACCAGCCACCUUCCUGAACUAACUAAACCCCAGCCUUGACCAUGACUGAGACAAGCAAGACAUGAGCAUCACCUGGCCAGGAGGGUCCUCAGAGCGCAGAUUAAGAGCAGGAGGUCUGAGUUCAGCUCAUGGGGGUCAAACCCCAUAACUAGCUGGGGGAUGCCGGGCAAACUUCCUUCCUUGUUAAGUUUCAGUUCCCUCUUUUGUAUGAUAAGAUUUCGUGAUGCUUCUUCACAAGACUGUUUGGAAGAUUAAAUGAAACAAUUCAUGGAAACAGAAUGCCUGACACUGAGUGGGUCCUCAGUAUUGGCUUUAAAUACAACCUGAAAUAGAAGAAAAUAGGAGCAUAAACUGAGAGAACCCAAGAGGAAAGGCGUGGAUUCUCUGAUCAUUCAAGUGUGCAAGUGCCCCAUCUGAAUCAUUUUGCUGCUAAAAACACCCUCGUCUCACAGUCCUUCACCACCCAGUUGCACUAGACUGAGGGUUUGAGAUGGCAAGAGCAAUGCUGUGUGGGCCUCAGGAAGUCAAGCAUAUCCAGAACCGGCCACGUAGACCUGGUGUGGCUGUUUUACAUGGGCUCAGACAGACCUGCCAUUAGGAGCAUUCCAGACCAGAGCUCAGCUGCUCCGAAGAGCAAUAAUUAAAUCAGCAGACUGUGACGUCUGCUUUGGGUUCCUUUCACACCUGUCUGUCAGCGGGAUUACUGGCUAAAAGAAAGUCUUGGCUGGGCCCAGACUGGAAACAGCCUCGAGAGAGGCUCUCGGGAAGCUCCAGCACAUAUCUCUGGUGGCCUCUCUUCCCAGGGCUCACAGGCUGCCACCCUGUUCUGCUACCCACAACACCUUGGGCUCACACCCCCUGAGGACCCACUAUCCACAGCAAGGCUCAACCGCAGCUCCAGUGCCCCACUUCAUGCUGCAGUGCGAAAGUCCUAACUGGAGCCCUGGGUACAUCUGGAUCAAGUUAAUUACAAAACAAGACAUACAUGGGAAUAGCCAAGCAGUCCCACUGAAAGCACAGGCAAGAAGCCGUUCAUCCCAACAGUUGUGACUGCGCCCAGACUCCUAUGUUCCUGCUGGGAGUCUGAGCACAUCCUGUCGAACAUGUCUGCAAAAACAACCCUUGUUAUGCUAAUCUCAGCCCUGUUUAUGAUGGUAAAACUUCUUGGGAGCAAGCCAAAUGUCAAGAUUGGGGGAUUCAUUAAAUAAACCAUGGUGCUAUCCAUACAAUAGGAAACUACAUACCCACUAAAAAUAACAUCAAGGAAGAAUAUUAAUAGACAUAGAAGCUGAGUGGGUAUAUUGCUAAGAUUUAAAGGCAUCUCACAAACAGUGUUAACAGUUGUUCUGAGUGUUAGGAUUAUACAGGUGAUUAUCACAUUCUUCUGCUGAUUUGUCGGUACUUUGUGCAAUGAUUCUGCUGUGUGCUGUGCUUCGUUGUUCAAUCAUGUCCGACUCUUCGCAACCACAUGGACUGUGGCCAGGCUCCUCUGUCCAUGGGGAUGCUCCAGGCAAGAAUACUGGAGCAGGUUGCCAUGCUCUCCUCCAGGGGAUCUUCCCAACCCAGGGAC